GACGAACGCUGGCGGCGUGCCUAACACAUGCAAGUCGAGCGGGGUUGAAGCGAGGGGUAACUCGAGUUUCUACCUAGCGGCGGACGGGUGAGUAACGCGUGGGCAACCUGCCUCAAGGACUGGGAUAACAGCUCGAAAGGGCUGCUAAUACCGGAUAAGCCUAUGGCCUCGCAUGGGGCCAUGAGCAAAGGGGAAACCCGCCUUGAGAUGGGCCCGCGUCCCAUCAGCUAGUUGGUGGGGUAACGGCCUACCAAGGCUAAGACGGGUAGCCGGUCUGAGAGGAUGGCCGGCCACACUGGAACUGAGACACGGUCCAGACUCCUACGGGAGGCAGCAGUGGGGAAUCUUGGGCAAUGGGGGAGACCCUGACCCAGCGACGCCGCGUGAGGGAUGAAGGUUUUCGGAUCGUAAACCUCUGUUGUACGGGAAGAAGGAUGUGACGGUACCGUACGAGUAAGCCCCGGAAACUACGUAG
RNAcentral lists this ribosomal RNA (475 nucleotides) under uncultured bacterium. RNAcentral describes it as "bacterial SSU rRNA". It matches the Rfam family "Bacterial small subunit ribosomal RNA", at positions 28 to 508 of the family's 1533-position model. The record is from RNAcentral.